This 468-nucleotide ribosomal RNA is filed under the name uncultured bacterium. Its description in RNAcentral is "partial 16S ribosomal RNA". It matches the Rfam family "Bacterial small subunit ribosomal RNA", at positions 28 to 507 of the family's 1533-position model. The record is from RNAcentral.
GACGAACGCUGGCGGCGUGCUUAACACAUGCAAGUCGAACGGGUAAGCUCCAGCUUGCUGGAGUGGAUCAGUGGCGAACGGGUGAGUAACAUGUGAGCAACCUGGCCCUGACUCUGGAAUAAGCGCUGGAAACGGCGUCUAAUACUGGAUACGAGAAGGGUCCGGAUGGGCACUUUCUGGAAAGUUGCUCGGUUGGGGAUGGGCUCGCGGCGUAUCAGCUUGUUGGUUAGGGAAUGGCUCACCAAGGCGACGGCGGGUAGCCGGCCUGAGAGGGCGACCGGCGACAAUGGGACUGAGAGACGGCGCAGACUCCUACGGGAGGCAGCAGUGGGGAAUAUUGCACAGUGGGCGCAAGCCUGAUGCAGAGACGCCGCGUGAGGGAUGACGGCCUUCGGGUUGUAAACCUCUUUCAGCAGAGAAGAAGCGAAAGUGACGGUACCUGCAGAAGAAGCACCGGCUAACUACGUG